RNAcentral lists this ribosomal RNA (874 nucleotides) under Lactiplantibacillus plantarum. Its description in RNAcentral is "bacterial SSU rRNA". It matches the Rfam family "Bacterial small subunit ribosomal RNA", at positions 62 to 899 of the family's 1533-position model. Lineage: Bacteria; Bacillati; Bacillota; Bacilli; Lactobacillales; Lactobacillaceae. The record is from RNAcentral.
UCUGGUAUUGAUUGGUGCUUGCAUCAUGAUUUACAUUUGAGUGAGUGGCGAACUGGUGAGUAACACGUGGGAAACCUGCCCAGAAGCGGGGGAUAACACCUGGAAACAGAUGCUAAUACCGCAUAACAACUUGGACCGCAUGGUCCGAGUUUGAAAGAUGGCUUCUGCUAUCACUUUUGGAUGGUCCCGCGGCGUAUUAUCUAGAUGGUGGGGUAACGGCUCACCAUGGCAAUGAUACGUAGCCGACCUGAGAGGGUAAUCGGCCACAUUGGGACUGAUACACGGCCCAAACUCCUACGGGAGGCAGCAGUAGGGAAUCUUCCUCAAUGGACGAAAGUCUGAUGGAGCAACGCCCCGUGAGUGAAGAAGGGUUUCGUUCUCGUAAAACUCUGUUGUUAAAGAAGAACAUAUAUGAGAGUAACUGUUCGUGUAUUGACGGUUUUUAUCCAAAAAGCAACGGCUAACUACGUGCCUGCAGCCGCGGUAAUACUUACGUGGCAAGCGUUGUCCGGAUUUAUUGGUCGUAAAGCGAGCGCACGCGGUUUUUUAUUUCUGAUGUGAAAGACUUCCGCUCCCCCCAACAAGUGCAUCAUACACUGAGAAACUUGAUUGCUGAGGACGACAGAGCACCUCCCUCCGCUGCGAUGAAAUGAAUACAUAUAUGAAAGAACACCACAUGGCGCAGGGAGGCUGUCUGUACUGUAGCUGACGCUCCUGCACGUUAGUAUGAGUAGCAUACAGACCAUAUACCUCCGUAAGCCCACCAUGCCAACGACGAUAGCUACGAUGUUCGGACGGGUUUUCCCGCCUUCUACGCUUCAGCUUACGCCUUAAGCAUUCCGCCUUGGGGGAGUUACGGUCCCCAGGGCUUGAA